UGGGCUCCCCGGUGUUCCACGGAUUGGGUUGCAGUGUGUGGCUCUGUGCUCUCCGACUUCCUCCUCUGAGGAACAAGGUAUGAAGUGCCCAGGACGAUUUUAUUUGGAAUUUAUUUUACAGGAACCUAAUCAUCACGGGCCAACCAAGACAUCUUAACUACCACAAUUUCUGAAGACAUUAAACUGCAUAUGCACAUGUACCAAAGCAGCGAGAGCUCCAAAUUCAGGGUCAUGAUCUACAGUGACUCUACUGAUGGUGUACGCCAUGCUGCUUUCAUUGUGCAGAAUUCAUUUCCUGCCAUAUCUGUUGUUUGGGUGUGGAGGUUCUGACCUGUAGAGUCGGAUCUUGGGGGUUGGGGAUUUGCUUACAGACUUGUCUGUUAUGCUAAUGAUCUGAUUCAGAAGCUCACCACUGCAGAAACAGUAUAUAUACUUACCAAUUCUUAGAAAUGAACAUUAGUGUGUUACAAGUUUUCCACAAAGUUGGUUGCCUCAUGAAGUACAAGAAAUUCUGCAAUUUCAUAUUUUUCAUUAUGCUGGAGAUUUCUGUUAACUCUGAUCGCUCUAAAUUUUUGUCUUUUAUUAAGAAACAAUCAAUGCCUGGAAAUGUGUCAUUUGUUUGCUCUCUUAUAUUGUUUCUUAGUACUGCUGCUGUCUGUUUAAUGACACCAGUGUCAUUGUGCAGGCAAAUUUCUCUGAGAGUGUUCCAUUUCUGCUUGAAUGUGGACCUCAGCCCAGGGAAUCUGUCUCAACAACAGUGCUGAAAUGGGCUGAAUGCAGUCCAGUGUAUGGAUUGACUCCAAAGAUGCUGGUGCUUUGAAUCAGCAGACUUUACAAGUUACAAAUGUUUUCUGACCUCUUCUGACUCAUUAAGAUUUUUAAGAACUCAAUCAAAUGUUUCUUACCCAAAGAGACAUAAAAAGACAAAACUAUCAGAGAGCUGCGGCUGCUUGGAGAACUUGGAAACGAUCAGCCAACCCUCAGCCUUUCACAAACACUGUUGCCUGCUAUGUGAUUAUGGGUCGUUCAUUGUUAAAUCAAAUAAAUUGUUAGAUUAUAGCUUUUAAUAGAUAAAAAUUAAUAAAACUCUAUCCAUGUUCAUUAAUUUA
Molecule: long non-coding RNA, 1109 nt
Organism: Cavia porcellus (domestic guinea pig)
Lineage: Eukaryota; Metazoa; Chordata; Mammalia; Rodentia; Caviidae
Exons: 2
Source: RefSeq, a predicted model, not a curated record